UUUAGUGCUUCAAAUCAUUCAAAAUGGCCGCCCCAAAGCGUAUUGGUGAUAGUGGCUAUUGUUGUGACAACGAUCCGGCGAUCCCCAUGAUGAUUCUUAUUCUCAGGGAUUUGGUAAUCUAUUAUAUAGUUUUCGUGGAUAAUAGCACUAUUAAAGUAUCUGACAUCAGGUAUUGCAUUUUUACUAUGAAACCUUUUGACGAAAUAUAAUAUCUUCAGCUGAAGGCUUCAUGUGAUCUGCGUGCUUGUGACAGUGAUUAAAUGGUCCAAUUCAAGCUGUCUUCCAAAACCAUGGAAAUUCUGUUUGCAAGAACGCGAAUAUGUUCCAUCGGGAUAUUCGGCCACAUCAUCAACAAUCACAAGCUAUUCAAAUAUCUAUGCAUCACCUAUUUAUGUGCCAGUUCCCGUUUCACUGCCUUCACAAAUCAAUCAACCGCAGCCAGUGGAACGUUAGGAUUCAAAAGAAAGAGUUUCUCAGUUGGAAGAUCUAUAGCGGAUGCUGGAACUGCAGAAGAAGAUUCAGGAAUUGGAGAUUAGUUUGCAGGAAGCCAUAGCCAAACAGGCUGUUCCUCCCAGUGGAAUUAAGAGCCAGCAGGUCGUCAUCGACAAAUCGAUAUCUGCAGCUAUUUCCACUGGAGCCACUGAAGCCGAACUUUGUGUGUUCCUAAAAAGAAUCCUUCUACCUCAUCUUGUGUCUCUUCUAAAGUUCUGAAUGAAAUCGAUCUUCUGCACUUCCGAUUGAGCAAUGUGAUCGCCUCAACCGGAGCUGUCGUUGUCAACCGUCGUCGCAUUGGAAAGAUAACCGACAACUAUCAGGAGUAGGAGCAGGAGGAAUUUCCUUGUCCCAUUCCCACUUAGAGAUUCACAGACAUGAAGAGUAUGAAGUGACCUGAAUGUAUGUACCAGAUCUGCUUGUUGAUGAAAGCCUUACUAAAUGCAUCACCCAUAUAAUAAAGCAUCAGGAAAUUUAUCUCAACAUGUGAAGUAAUGCU
This 991-nucleotide long non-coding RNA is filed under the name Daphnia pulicaria. Its description in RNAcentral is "uncharacterized LOC124337372, transcript variant X4". Lineage: Eukaryota; Metazoa; Arthropoda; Branchiopoda; Diplostraca; Daphniidae. The record is from RNAcentral.